This 1782-nucleotide ribosomal RNA is filed under the name Triticum aestivum (bread wheat). Its description in RNAcentral is "partial small subunit ribosomal RNA". The record is from RNAcentral. Lineage: Eukaryota; Viridiplantae; Streptophyta; Magnoliopsida; Poales; Poaceae.
ACCCCGAAGCAGCUGAAGGCGGCGUCCAUUGUGGGGUUUGGUGGGAUGGGCAAGACGACUCCUGCCAACCAAAUCUACCACUCGUUUGGAGAGCAAUUCAAGUACCGGGCUUUCGUGUCCGUCUCUCGAGACCCUGAGGCGCUGAAGGUUCUGAGAGGUAUUCUGAGCCAACUGAGCAAGCUAGAGCACAGUGGCACUGAAUCUGGGGAUGAGAGACAACUCAUUGACAACAUUCUAUAUUUCCUUCGAGACAAAAGGUACUACAUUGUGAUUGAUGACGUAUGGAGCGUAGAGACAUGGGAGAUUAUCAAAUGUGCAAUUCCCAGAAACAGAUUUGGUAGUAGAGUAAUCACGACAACGCGUAUAAAGGCAGUGGCCGAAUCAUGCUCCUCCACAUAUGCAGACCAUGUUUAUGAAAUGAGGCCUCUUAGCGCCGUGCACUCAAAGGGGUUGUUCCUCGAGAGANNNNNNNNNNNNNNNNNNNNNNNNNNNNNNNNNNNNNNNNNNAUUUGUGAUGAUAUAUUGAAGAAAUGCGGCGGUUUGCCGCUGGCGAUUAUUACCAUUUCUGGCCUACUGGCGAACAAAGCUCAGACCAUGGUUCAAUGGGCCCAAGUGCAAAGUUCCAUUGGUUGUGCACAUCAAAGAUAUCCAAGUGUUGAAAGAAUGAUAAAGAUACUAUCCCUUAGUUACUUUGACCUCCAUCACGAUCUGAAAACUUGUCUAUUGUAUCCAAGUAUAUUCCCAGAGGAUUAUCCCAUUGAGAAGAGCCGUCUGAUAAGAAGAUGGAUCGCAGAGGGAUUUAUUCAAGGAAGGAGCGGGCACACUACGUAUGAACUGGGGGAGAGGUGCUUCAAUGAGCUGAUCAACAGGAGCCUGAUCCAACCAUGGCAUAUAAAUAGGUACAGGGAGGUGACAGUAUGCCGAGUUCAUGACACAAUCCUUGAUUUCAUAGUGUACAAGUCUGUUGAAGAGAACUUUGUCACCCUACUUGGUGUUCCAGAGCUUACUGGUAGGCCACAUAACAAGGUUCGUCGAUUAUCUCUCCAGCACAAGAGCAAUGAAGAUGAUAUCCUACGACCAAACUUGAUUUAUUCUCAUGUUCGAUCUCUUACUGUUUUUGGGCGUUCGAUGCGAAUCCCUUCUCGGUUUAAAUCCAGAUUUGUGCGGGUUUUGGACUUGGAAGGCUGCCACAUGUUAGCAGGCUAUCUUAACAACAUAUCUAGCUCAUUUCAACUCAAGUACCUUAGCCUCAGAAACACACUUAUUACUGAGCUCCCGGAACAAAUCGGCGAACUGCGGGAUCUAGAGACACUGAACCUCGAAGGCACGUUCAUAACUGAAUUGCCAGCAACCAUCGCUCGACUUCGGCACUUGGUGCAUCUGUUGAUAAAUAGAGGGGUUAAGCUACCGGAUGGAACUGGGAACAUGCAAGGAUUAGAAGAGCUGAAAGUAAUUAGUUUAUUUGAGCAGCCAACUGGCUUCUUCCAGGAAUUUGGUCUCCUAACAAACAUGAUAGAUGUGAGCAUGUUUUGGGACAUUCCGAACAGGAACUCGAGAAGUUAUCUUGGAAAGAGAAGAAGGGAUCAGAGUUCAUUUGAAACUUCUGAUGUGCACCUGAAUAAUGCAGUGUCUUCCCUCUGUAAGCUGUGCACAUGCAAUCUUCAGUCUCUGUCCCUUGAUACCACUUUCAGUAUCGCAUUCAGGUUUUCCCUCAUUGAUCAAAAGCGGUAUCACCAUAUCACAGACUCCAGGUACAACUCAGUCACAACAGUACCAUGUUAA